GCUGGCGGCGUGCCUAAUACAUGCAAGUCGAGCGGAAAGGCCUCUUCGGAGGUACUCGAGCGGCGGACGGCUGAGUAACGCGUAGGAACGUACCCCAAACUGAGGGAUAAGCACCAGAAAUGGUGUCUAAUACCGCAUGUGCUCUAAGGAGUAAAGCUUCGGCGGUUUGGGAACGGCCUGCGUAUGAUUAGCUUGUUGGUGAGGUAAUGGCUCACCAAGGCGACGAUCAUUAGCUGGUCUGAGAGGAUGAUCAGCCAGACUGGGACUGAGAACGGCCCAGACUCCUACGGGAGGCAGCAGUAGGGAAUUUUCCACAAUGGGCGAAAGCCUGAUGGAGCAACGCCGCGUGCAGGAUGAAUGCCUUCGGGUUGUAAACUGCUUUUAUAUGUGACGAUUAUGACGGUAGCAUAUGAAUAAGGAUCGGCUAACUCCGUGCCA
RNAcentral lists this ribosomal RNA (438 nucleotides) under uncultured soil bacterium. RNAcentral describes it as "bacterial SSU rRNA". It matches the Rfam family "Bacterial small subunit ribosomal RNA", at positions 35 to 510 of the family's 1533-position model. The record is from RNAcentral.